RNAcentral lists this unclassified non-coding RNA (421 nucleotides) under Hevea brasiliensis (rubber tree). The record is from RNAcentral. Lineage: Eukaryota; Viridiplantae; Streptophyta; Magnoliopsida; Malpighiales; Euphorbiaceae.
CACCACUGUAGUGAACCCAUGGUAAAAUUAACGGAAAAUGUAGCUGUGGUAAAAAUUGGAACAUUACAGCAGUAUGACCAAGUCAGAAUAAAUAAUUCUUGUUCCUUGUUCCUUUUCCUUUGUUUGACUGUCCUAAAGGUAUACAAUAUACAUUACACACAAUAGACUAUAAAACGUUUCUAGAAAUGAUUACUAUCUUAUUGAUAUGGAAUCAUAACUCAUCUCAUAUUACACAAUAUAUCACAACAAAUUUCCCCCAGGUUAUACUCUCACCAAGAACCUCUGCACCUUCUUAGUUCCCCAAUUGACCAUCUCUCGCCUCUAGAACAACUGCAUCCAAAUUUUUCUCACCCAAAUCAUACUACUUUCUAUGUUAAACUCCAUGCUUAUAUGUUAAAAAAAAAAGUAUCAAGGAAUGGAC